This is a small nuclear RNA of Mauremys mutica (yellowpond turtle), 140 nucleotides long. RefSeq annotates it as U4 spliceosomal RNA. The transcript has a single exon. The record is from RefSeq and is a predicted model, not a curated record. Lineage: Eukaryota; Metazoa; Chordata; Testudines; Geoemydidae.
CUAAAUAAGAAGUGGCAGUAUCAUAGCCAAUGAGGUUAAUCCGAGGCGUGAUUAUUGCUAGUUGAAAACUUUUCCCAAUGCCCUCAGUUUUCUCUAUGAGAAAUUGAAAUUGUAUCUUUGCACUAAUAUCCCAAAUGUGC